Molecule: transfer RNA, 74 nt
Filed under: Schistocerca americana (American grasshopper)
Lineage: Eukaryota; Metazoa; Arthropoda; Insecta; Orthoptera; Acrididae
Also listed under: 1 other name
Description: tRNA-Ala
Rfam family: tRNA
About the family: Transfer RNA (tRNA) molecules are approximately 80 nucleotides in length. Their secondary structure includes four short double-helical elements and three loops (D, anti-codon, and T loops). Further hydrogen bonds mediate the characteristic L-shaped molecular structure. tRNAs have two regions of fundamental functional importance: the anti-codon, which is responsible for specific mRNA codon recognition, and the 3' end, to which the tRNAs corresponding amino acid is attached (by aminoacyl-tRNA synthetases). tRNAs cope with the degeneracy of the genetic code in two manners: having more than one tRNA (with a specific anti-codon) for a particular amino acid; and 'wobble' base-pairing, i.e. permitting non-standard base-pairing at the 3rd anti-codon position.
Source: RNAcentral
GGGGGCGUAGCUCAGUUGGUAGAGCGUUCGCUUUGCAUGUGAAAGGUCCCCGGGUUCAAGCCCCGGCGCCUCCA